RNAcentral lists this ribosomal RNA (483 nucleotides) under uncultured bacterium. RNAcentral describes it as "partial 16S ribosomal RNA". It matches the Rfam family "Bacterial small subunit ribosomal RNA", at positions 28 to 523 of the family's 1533-position model. The record is from RNAcentral.
GACGAACGCUGGCGGCGUGCUUAACACAUGCAAGUCGAACGAUGAAGCAGGAGCUCGCUCCGGUGGAUUAGUGGCGAACGGGUGAGUAACACGUGAGCAAUCUGCCCUUGACUCUGGGAUAACUGCGUGAACCUGUAGCUAAUACCGGAUACGACACCUUGGCGAAUCCCAGGGUGUGGAAAGAAUUUCGGUCAAGGAUGAGCUCGAGGGCUAUCAGCUAGUUGGUGAGGUAAUGGCUCACCAAGGCGACGACGGGUAGCCGGCCUGAGAGGGUGACCGGCCACACUGGAACUGAGACACGGUCCAGACUCCUACGGGAGGCAGCAGUGGGGAAUAUUGCACAAUGGGCGAAAGCCUGAUGCAGCAACGCCGCGUGAGGGAUGAAGGCCUUCGGGUUGUAAACCUCUUUUAGCAGGGAAGAAGCGAAAGUGACGGUACCUGCAGAAAAAGCACCGGCUAACUACGUGCCAGCAGCCGCCGUAA